Molecule: ribosomal RNA, 245 nt
Filed under: uncultured bacterium
Lineage: Bacteria
Description: partial 16S ribosomal RNA
Rfam family: Bacterial small subunit ribosomal RNA
Source: RNAcentral
GAGUAACACGUAUCCAACCUGCCGAUGACUCGGGGAUAGCCUUUCGAAAGAAAGAUUAAUACCCGAUGGCAUAGUUCUUCCGCAUGGUAGAACUAUUAAAGAAUUUCGGUCAUCGAUGGGAUGCGUUCCAUUAGGUUGUUGGCGGGGUAACGGCCCACCAAGCCUUCGAUGGAUAGGGGUUCUGAGAGGAAGGUCCCCCACAUUGGAACUGAGACACGGUCCAGACUCCUACGGGAGGCAGCAUG